AGUGAACGCUGGCGGUAGGCCUAACACAUGCAAGUCGAACGGCAGCACAGUAAGAGCUUGCUCUUACGGGUGGCGAGUGGCGGACGGGUGAGGAAUACAUCGGAAUCUACUUUUUCGUGGGGGAUAACGUAGGGAAACUUACGCUAAUACCGCAUACGACCUACGGGUGAAAGCAGGGGAUCUUCGGACCUUGCGCGAUUGAAUGAGCCGAUGUCGGAUUAGCUAGUUGGCGGGGUAAAGGCCCACCAAGGCGACGAUCCGUAGCUGGUCUGAGAGGAUGUUCAGCCACACUGGAACUGAGACACGGUCCAGACUCCUACGGGAGGCAGCAGUGGGGAAUAUUGGACAAUGGAGGCAAGCCUGAUCCAGCCAUACCGCGUGGGUGAAGAAGGCCUUCGGGUUGUAAAGCCCUUUUGUUGGGAAAGAAAAGCAGCAGGUUAAUACCCCGCUGUUCUGACGGUACCCAAAGAAUAAGCACCGGCUAACUUCGUG
Molecule: ribosomal RNA, 492 nt
Filed under: uncultured bacterium
Lineage: Bacteria
Description: partial 16S ribosomal RNA
Rfam family: Bacterial small subunit ribosomal RNA
Source: RNAcentral